RNAcentral lists this ribosomal RNA (400 nucleotides) under Bacillus subtilis. RNAcentral describes it as "bacterial SSU rRNA". It matches the Rfam family "Bacterial small subunit ribosomal RNA", at positions 118 to 503 of the family's 1533-position model. Lineage: Bacteria; Bacillati; Bacillota; Bacilli; Caryophanales; Bacillaceae. The record is from RNAcentral.
UGGGUAACCUGCCUGUAAUACUGGGAUAACUCCGGGAAACCGGGGCUAAUACCGGAUGGUUGUUUGAACCGCAUGGUUCAAACAUAAAAGGUGGCUUCGGCUACCACUUACAGAUGGACCCGCGGCGCAUUAGCUAGUUGGUGAGGUAACGGCUCACCAAGGCAACGAUGCGUAGCCGACCUGAGAGGGUGAUCGGCCACACUGGGACUGAGACACGGCCCAGACUCCUACGGGAGGCAGCAGUAGGGAAUCUUCCGCAAUGGACGAAAGUCUGACGGAGCAACGCCGCGUGAGUGAUGAAGGUUUUCGGAUCGUAAAGCUCUGUUGUUAGGGAAGAACAAGUACCGUUCGAAUAGGGCGGUACCUUGACGGUACCUAACCAAAAAGCCACGGCUAACUA